GACGAACACUGGCGGCGUGCUUAACACAUGCAAGUCGAACGGAAAGGCCCUGCUUUUGUGGGGUGCUCGAGUGGCGAACGGGUGAGUAACACGUGAGUAACCUGCCCUUGACUUUGGGAUAACUUCAGGAAACUGGGGCUAAUACCGGAUAGGAGCUCCUGCUGCAUGGUGGGGGUUGGAAAGUUUCGGCGGUUGGGGAUGGACUCGCGGCUUAUCAGCUUGUUGGUGGGGUAGUGGCUUACCAAGGCUUUGACGGGUAGCCGGCCUGAGAGGGUGACCGGCCAGAUUGGGACUGAGAUACGGCCCAGACUCCUACGGGAGGCAGCAGUGGGGAAUAUUGCACAAUGGGCGGAAGCCUGAUGCAGCAACGCCGCGUGCGGGAUGACGGCCUUCGGGUUGUAAACCGCUUUCGCCUGUGACGAAGCGUGAGUGACGGUAAUGGGUAAAGAAGCACCGGCUAACUACGUG
This 468-nucleotide ribosomal RNA is filed under the name uncultured bacterium. RNAcentral describes it as "partial 16S ribosomal RNA". It matches the Rfam family "Bacterial small subunit ribosomal RNA", at positions 28 to 507 of the family's 1533-position model. The record is from RNAcentral.